CCUACGGGAGGCAGCAGUGGGGAAUAUUGGACAAUGGGGGCAACCCUGAUCCAGCAAUGCCGCGUGUGUGAUGAAGGCCUUAGGGUUGUAAAGCACUUUCACUGGUGAAGACGAUGACGUUAACCAGAGAAGAAGCCCCGGCUAACUUCGUGCCAGCAGCCGCGGUAAU
Molecule: ribosomal RNA, 169 nt
Filed under: uncultured bacterium
Lineage: Bacteria
Description: partial 16S ribosomal RNA
Rfam family: Bacterial small subunit ribosomal RNA
Source: RNAcentral